This 1800-nucleotide long non-coding RNA is filed under the name Homo sapiens (human). Its description in RNAcentral is "HSALNT0112546". Lineage: Eukaryota; Metazoa; Chordata; Mammalia; Primates; Hominidae. The record is from RNAcentral.
UUUAUAAUAAAAUUUAGUUGGUCCAACAAAGCCUAAAUGUUUAUGUAGCUCAUUCAAACUUGUCUGUGUCCUCAAAUUGACACUGUUUUACUUCAUGCCAUAUCAGAUAAAGUUUAAGGUGUUUAUCUGUAGGAGAAAGAGCUUCUUGUCAAACAUGAAAAUAAGAGAGAAAGAGGUGGAGUUUCCUCACUGAAAUUAGUCAGUAACUCGCCGUGUCCAUUACGAACCCUCACAUUCAAUAAAGUGGAGAAUGCCAGGAUACUGCAGCAAAUGGAGUUUUGCUGAAGAUCAAAGCAACAUAAAUCAUAUUAUGCUUAUGUGCAUAAAUUAUGUCACAUAGGCUCGUGUGAUUAAACAGCACAGUCCCUCGUUUACCUGAAGUGGAACGUGAAAACAGCAGAGAAGCUACAGGCAGAACUUGCCUUAUGCGCAGAAGGGUACCCAGAAGUCUGCAAAGAUAAUUUAUAGGACAACUCCCCAAAUCACCCCACGUAGUCUUUCCUAAAAUUUCCAACAAUGCAAUUUCUUAGUACUUUUUUAAGAGGGGUUUCUCCUUUUGCAUAUUCCUCAUUUUCUCUUGCUACCACCAUAUAAGAAGUACCUUUCACCUGCCACCAAGAUUCUGAGUUAUCCCCAGCCACGUCAAACUAGGAUGAUGGUGGAUAGGAGGCAGGACUAGCUUGCAGUUCCUGCCCAGAUGCACAGAGCAGCGCGUGGAGACUCACAUAGUGAACUUUUGCUCCAAGAACUAUCACAGGAACAUAGCAGGAAAGCCGAGAGAAUCCACAGACCCUUUGAAGGAACGGAAUCACUGCUGCAGGCUCUCCAAGAUGCCAAAAAAACUAAACACCACUUUACUGGCCGAGGACUGCCUUUCCUGUGGAAGGAAAAGUUAUGCUAAGCUGAGUGCUAAAGUCAAAGAGCUGCAGAGCCACUCCUGCUGUUUUCAAUUAGCAUGCCAGUCCCAAUGGCAUGUCCGGCAGACGGUGUUUUAUUAAGGGUGGGUCAUCUCCUCCUCCAAGCCACGUGAACAGCCUGCGGUUCUACAUGCUUCCCUUGACCUUCCAGUCCCUCUGGAGUCGUGUGACUGCUGGAAGCUGAAGCCACAGCUGUCUGCCACUUGACUCCCAAAGCUCAGUGUGAUCUGCAAUCUUCCCUUGGGACAGAGAAGGAAAGCAAGUUGAUGGAAAGAAAUGUCUCUUUCUGAAAUAAAAUAGUUUCUUUUCCUUGAGCAUGUUUGAGAACUUAAAUGAAGGUAACGAGCAUACAGAGAUGUGGAAGGUUAGUCAUGUAAUAAUGCUCAGCAGGAAUCAGGUGGGAAGUUCUGGUCCUCUCAGCUAAGGGACUGGUUCUGGGCUAAAGGAGAGUGGCUCUUUACGAAUUAGGAUGGCAAUCAUACUGAAAAGCUCGGCAUAUAUGACUCUGGAGAAGAGUGAGCUGACCUGGAAUUUAGCCUAAAGAAGAGAAGGUUGAGGGUGAUUUAAAGAGGAACUCUGGAGCAGGAAAUGUCAUUAUAUUAGGAAUGAGGACCAGAUGUUCUCAAUCUUGUCAGAGCACAAAGUCGAGACAAAGAAUGACUUUAUAGAAUAAGGCAGAACUCCAUGACCGUUGUUAAACACUGGAAUGGGGUGUUCGUGGAGGCUGUGGAAUUCUCCAUAAAAAUAAUUCCUUUGUCUCAUAUGAGCAUUUGUGUGUAGGUUUGCCUUAAGAAUUAAAGAUUAAUGAAACAAUCUCUAGGGGGUCCCUUCGUGAGUGUUUUUUGUAUCACAACAGUCUUUCAGAUAAAUAAGAAAAAAGGGC